RNAcentral lists this long non-coding RNA (4722 nucleotides) under Fragaria vesca (wild strawberry). RNAcentral describes it as "long non-coding RNA (FVES_LNC003166)". Lineage: Eukaryota; Viridiplantae; Streptophyta; Magnoliopsida; Rosales; Rosaceae. The record is from RNAcentral.
UUGCUUUGUCAAAUGAUUACCAUAUAUAUUAGUCUAUCGAACCUUGUUAAUUUGUCGUGUUUAUCUAGUUGCUAACUAAAUAAAUAUUUCUUUUAAUUAUUUUAUAUCUAAAAGUUAAAAACAUAAUAAUAUUAUUUAAAAAUAAUCCGUGAUUGAGCAUGAAUUUCUUAAUCAGUUAAUAACCAAGUGAACAUGACUAUUGUAGUCGGUUGUGCAUAAACAACCUAGCUCUCAAGCCCGUAAACCAGCAAACAUUCCACCAUGACCAAAACAACCAAGGCCACCCUAAGGUCCCCGUCCAUGAGCAGGAUGGGCCAGACCCAACCUGGGUGGCAAUACUGGGCCGGGAACGGCUUCAGAAGGCAUAAGGGAAAUCUAUAUUCGAAGCAGCAGCAAAUGCAAUUGUCCCACAUCGAUUUCCAAGCAAAGAGAACCUACGUUCCCAACCACCAGCUUGUCAUGUAUCAUUUACUACGUCAAUAACUAUACUUCACCUGCAAAUCCUGACUUAAUCAUCGGAGGAGGAAAAACCGGAAGCCUUUGGUCAUCCUUGUGUUUACAGGUUAUCGGGAGAAUAGUCUAUCACCCAACGGACAUGCCAUCAGCUUCUGCAUCCUUAUCCGAGAUUGUACAGAAACAUUUGGCGUCGUCUAUUGGGUGAGAGAAGGUUUGUCAAUAGAUUAAAUAAUGGUUCGCUCCAGCCUAGACGAAGAAGAGCCGACGACACUGGUCAUCGGGACGCCAUGAAAAACCCCGACAAACCAAUCGACAUCCCAAGCGGGUACACCAUAGGUUAACUCUCCAGGCCUAGACGAUGACGAUUCACCGGGGCAGGAUGGCCGGCUAAUGUACUCUUCUAUCCUCUCGUCGUCAUCCACUAUCGGACAAGAGGAUGUGCUGGUCCCGCUUAGAUCAGUAGUACUUCGAGAAUCUGUUAACUCUCCAGGCCUAGACGAUGACAAUUCACCCCGGCGGGAUGGCCGGCUAAUGUACUCUUUCAUCCUCUCGUCGUCAUCCACUAUCGGCUGAGAGGAUGUGCUGGUCCCGCUUAGAUCAAUAGUACUUUGAGAAUCCAUUUACCCUAGUAUAACACAAACCAUAGGAUCCAUUAGCAUGCGCCGCUGGGAGCAAGCGCGAAUUGCAUAGCUUCAGAGCCUAACCCAAAAAUCCCCAGUUUUUACCCAAAAUCCCCAGAUUUUGACCACCACAAGAUAACACAACAGAAGUAACAAAGCAGAAGCAAAACAAACACACAACAUACGUGCAACAAAGCAGAACGCAGAAAGCUUACCAGAUUUUUGCCAAAACAGUAGCGCUGGAAACUCAGAGGGGUGGCAACACCUCGCAUUCGCAGUGAUCGGUGGCGCAGUGCAGUGGCGUAGAAACAGGCAGCGAAAGCAGAAGAAAAAGAGAGAGAAGUCGGAGCAGAGAAAAACCAGAGAGAAGUGAGUGAAGUGAGAAGACUGAAGGCGAAGAAGGGGGGAAACAAUUUACACAGAAACAGUGAAAGUCGCCUCGAUCCACGAACCGGACAUUAAAAAACCACUAAACCGAAAACGAGGCACCCCUAGCCAUCCGAUCAAACCGUAGGAUGGUGCCACAUGGCUUAAACCGCCGUAGCUUCUUGAAGAAGGAAAGAAUGAAGCGACGUGCAUUAAUUGCUUGGCAGUUAUCCCCAUGAAUAUUGCGACAUCUGGCGAACAUGCAUUUAAUGCACCUGCCACAGCAACGCACAAAUUACACCAAGUGAAAAACCUAUCUCGGGUGGGAAUCACCGAGAUCAUUCCACCCAGUGAAAAACCUAUCUCGGGUGAGUAUCACCGAGAUCAUCCCACCUAGUGAAAGACCUAUCUCGGGUGAGUAUCACUGAGAUCAUUCCACCAAGUGAAAGACAUAUCUUGGGUGAGUAUCACCGAGAUCGUAACACCCACCGAAACACAUCCUCCUUUUAAAAGCGGAGCAAGUGGCUUGAUAAACCACGGAUGGCGUUUGAUAAGAGCACAAAGUGUGACGUUCUUAAUAUGUUUAUACCCUUUAUUUACCCUUUGUUAACUCCUAUUUAGUUGUUUUAGCUUUAUAUUUGUGUUUAGUGUAGAAUAAUUGCUUAAUGUAGAAAUAUGUAGGUUUUGGUGUUAGAAUUCAUAGUAAUUUCGGAAUUGAAGAAUUGGGUGUUGAAAUUAUGCUAAGUGUUGGAAAUCCUUGUUUACUCAGGAUUCCUUUCUUGAUCAGGAUUCCAUCUUUCCUCUUUCCUAGUUUCUAAUUUUCUUAUUUCUAUUUCAGGAAAGUCUAAACCCGUGUUGACCAGGAAAUGUUUUCCUGACUCAUGAGGGAAAGGUGGUCGGCAGCUAGGAGUUCCUGCUUGAGCUAGGAGAAAUACAAUCCGAGAUAUGUAUGAAGAUGCCGUGAAGAUUUCCCAAGUCACCAAGGAGAGAGAAACCGUGCGGCCCAAGAGAGAAGAUUUUUCCAAGUUCAAGAUGGUUUUGUCAUUCCUUAAUGCAUGAGGAUUACUUGAAGAACAAGAGAAGAAAUUAAAUCCAACUUGGACUUGGUUUUGCCGAUUCAAUAGGAUUCCUUGUGCUUGAGGAAUUCUUGGAGAUCAAGACUUGUUACUCUAUAAAUAGGGCACGGCAUGGCAGCAAUUAUCAUCAUCAACCCAUGCAAAUAACACCAAAGCCUUUGCCGAAACUCUAUCAACCUUCAAACACCAUAAUCCGAUUCCACCAUCAUCCUUGAUCCAAAGCACAUAGCCUAGGAUUCCGCUCACUCGAAGAAUAGAACAAGUAGGGAUAUUCUGAGAGUGUAUUUCAUCUUUUACUUUCGGAUUAGUAUGUGUUUGUUCUUCUUGAUGUUUGUUUUAGGUUUUUGCUUAAGUAUGUUUCGAUUCUUAUCUAUGAGAUAGAAACACUUUUGAACCAUGUUUUGAAAUAAAGUUUUCAAUUUUUAAUCAAUGAUUUUAGGUUUUAUGCCGUGAGUUUUAUGUCUAUAUACUUUAAGAUUUUCGGUGCAUUCUUCCAUUAUCAUGUGUAGUUGAUACAAGUAGUUGAUAUUGCAUGUGUUAAUCAUCCAAAGUUCGACUUUGAUACAAGUAGUUGAUAAGUUGCAUUGUCUUUGUUAUUUCACCGAUUUUCUACCUAUGUUUGAUUUGGACUUGUGCUUAAACACAUCGAUUCUUUAUGUGAUACGUAAUUGCAUGCUUAGUUUAUGUGUGUGACCUAUAAGUUGUUUGUGUCACGAUGUUGAAUGAAACCCGUAGUCUAAUUAUAAGUAGGUCUAUGUCAUAGGAACCACGUAAGAACUUACGUGCAUAUCAAAUUUAGAUUGUAUAAUUGCUCACGGUGUAGACUUAAAUGAGAUUAGAGAUCGUCUUCUUUGUUCUUACAUGGUUGUUUGGUUAAGUUUGCAUGAUUGUUGGUUGAUCACAUGUAAAUAUGUAUAGAAGUAAUUUAGGAUUUAUUUUCAAUGUUUAUUCCAAAAUCAUCAAAACCUUUAAACCCUAUAUGCUUAUUUCGACAUUUUUAUUAGAUUAGAUGGAUCUACCCUGUAGUUGAAUCCCCGGUUUAGAACGAUCCAUGCUUGCUUUAUACUAUGAUUGAUUUGUUGACAGGGUUAAUUGAUGCGUGUGCAAAUACGUCUUAUCAGCGUUAACACCCCGUCACUCGAGUAGUAACACCAGAUAUGGAAAGGGCUCGCUACCCUUGUCCAUGGAAAAUGUAACAACCGUUCAACCCACGUUAUGAGUCCGAACUUGGGGGGACUAUGGGCGGGAGCCCAUUUAAAAUAUACUAGUCUACGGGCUUAUUUUAGCAAGUCCCCACUCAAGAUGUGUCUUGAAUUGGAACUUAGGGGGACUUGUAGUCGGUUGUACAUGAAACAACCUCUCAAGCCCGUAAACCAGCAAACAUUCCACCAUAACCAAGACAACCGAGGCCACCCUAAGGUCCCUGUCCAUGAGCAGGAUGGGCCGGACCCAACCUCGAUGGCGAUAUUGGGACGAGAACGACUUCAGAAGGCAUAAGGGAAGUCUAUUCGAAGCAGCAGCAAAUGCAAUUGUCCCACAUUGAUUUCCAAGUAAAAAGAACCCAUGCUGAGCCAUAAAUACGACCCAGCCACCAGAUUUUCAGGUAUCAUUUACUACGUCAAUAAUUAUACUUCACCUGCAAAUCCUGAUUUAAUCAUCAGAGGAGAAAAGACCGGAAGCCCCUGGUCAUCCUUGUGUUUACAGGUCAUCGGGAGAAUAGUUUAUCACCUAACGGACACGCCAUCAGCUUCUGCAUCCUUAUCCGGGAUUGUACAGAAACAACUAUAUAUCACUAAACGAACCUACCUUUACCUUUGUAACAAAAGAGUUAAAGUAAUGAAAACAAAAGAGUUAAAGUAAUGAAAAUAAGGAAGAAAGUAAAGAUCAGCUCUAACAGCUUUCCAACUAUAACAGUCACUCUAUAAUCAAUCGAGACAACAACAACCCUAAACUCUAUAUCCGACCUCUAGUGUAGAAGCUACUUGUUCUCUCUAAUUAGUAAUUACUAAUUAAAUGGAUUAAUAAAUUAUUAGGGAUGACCUAAAAUUAUUUCCAAGCCACACCAUCUUAAUUGAGGAUUCCUAUCAUCGCUACAGAUCGAAUUGAUUUAUUUUUGUCACCAAGAUUGAAGGUACCAUGUUGGGCAUUGAAUAUUCAAAUCUGAAUAAAAUGUCAAAAUUAGAUGCUUAUUUUAUAAAAACCAC